GGCCUGAGCAACAAGCAUUGUGGAUAAU
RNAcentral lists this non-coding RNA (28 nucleotides) under Rattus norvegicus (Norway rat). The record is from RNAcentral. Lineage: Eukaryota; Metazoa; Chordata; Mammalia; Rodentia; Muridae.